RNAcentral lists this ribosomal RNA (340 nucleotides) under uncultured Latescibacterota bacterium. RNAcentral describes it as "bacterial SSU rRNA". It matches the Rfam family "Bacterial small subunit ribosomal RNA", at positions 29 to 351 of the family's 1533-position model. The record is from RNAcentral. Lineage: Bacteria; Pseudomonadati; Candidatus Latescibacterota.
AACGAACGCUGGCGGCGUGGAUUAGGCAUGCAAGUCGAACGAGAAAGGUCCCUUCGGGGGCUGAGUAAAGUGGCAAACGGGUGAGUAACGCGUGGGAAACUUGCCUUUCAGUUGGGGAUAACACUUCCAACGAGGUGCUAAUACCGAAUUCGAUCCUUGUGUCGCAUGGCAUGAGGAUGAAAGGCGGCCUCUGUUUCAAGCUGUCGCUGAAAGAUGGUCCCGCGUCCCAUUAGCUAGUUGGUGAGGUAACGGCCCACCAAGGCUAUGAUGGGUAGCCGGCCUUAGCGGGUGUCCGGCCACACUGGGACUGAGAUACGGCCCAGACUCCUACGGGUGGCUG